AACGAACGCUGGCGGCAUGCCUAACACAUGCAAGUCGAACGAAGCCUUCGGGCUUAGUGGCGCACGGGUGCGUAACACGUGGGAAUCUGCCCUUCGGUUCGGAAUAACAGUUAGAAAUGACUGCUAAUACCGGAUGAUGACGUAAGUCCAAAGAUUUAUCGCCGAAGGAUGAGCCCGCGUAGGAUUAGGUAGUUGGUAGGGUAAUGGCCUACCAAGCCGACGAUCCUUAGCUGGUCUGAGAGGAUGAUCAGCCACACUGGGACUGAGACACGGCCCAGACUCCUACGGGAGGCAGCAGUGGGGAAUAUUGGACAAUGGGCGAAAGCCUGAUCCAGCAAUGCCGCGUGAGUGAUGAAGGCCUUAGGUUGUAAAGCUCUUUUACCUAGGGAUGAUAAUGACAGUACCUGGAGAAUAAGACUCCGGCGUAACUCCGUGCCAGCAGCCGCGGUAAAAUAAGCGUACU
Molecule: ribosomal RNA, 463 nt
Filed under: uncultured bacterium
Lineage: Bacteria
Description: bacterial SSU rRNA
Rfam family: Bacterial small subunit ribosomal RNA
Source: RNAcentral